GGGCCUGUAGGUAAACGGCAUACCGAUACAUUCGCAUUGUAUAAUUCCGAGUUCAAUUCUCGGCAGGUCCA
Molecule: transfer RNA, 71 nt
Filed under: Candidatus Levybacteria bacterium RIFCSPHIGHO2_01_FULL_38_12
Lineage: Bacteria; Candidatus Levyibacteriota
Also listed under: 3 other names
Description: tRNA-Ala
Rfam family: tRNA
About the family: Transfer RNA (tRNA) molecules are approximately 80 nucleotides in length. Their secondary structure includes four short double-helical elements and three loops (D, anti-codon, and T loops).
Source: RNAcentral